Molecule: ribosomal RNA, 254 nt
Filed under: uncultured bacterium
Lineage: Bacteria
Description: partial 16S ribosomal RNA
Rfam family: Bacterial small subunit ribosomal RNA
Source: RNAcentral
UACGGAGGUUGCGAGCGUGGCUCGGAAUCACUGGGCGUAAAGCGUACGCAGGCGGCUCGUUAAGUCGGGUGUGAAAGCCCGGGGCUCAACCCCGGAAUUGCGCCCGAUACUGGCGAGCUUGAGUACGGGAGAGGGAUAGCGGAAUUCCUGGUGUAGAGGUGAAAUUCGUAGAUAUCAGGAGGAACACAAGUGGCGAAAGCGGCUUCCUGGCCCGAUACUGACGCUCAUGUACGAAAGCGUGGGGAGCAAACAGG